GACGAACGCUGGCGGCGUGCUUAACACAUGCCAGUCGAACGGAAAGGCCCUGCUUUUGUGGGGUGCUCGAGUGGCGAACGGGUGAGUAACACGUGAGUAACCUGCCCUUGACUUUGGGAUAACUUCAGGAAACUGGGGCUAAUACCGUAUAGGAGCUCCUGCUGCAUGGUGGGGGUUGGAAAGUUUCGGCCGUUGGGGAUGGACUCGCGGCUUAUCGGCUUGUUGGUGGGGUAGUGGCUUACCAAGGCUUUGACGGAUCGCCGGCAUGGGAGGGUGACCGGGGUCAAUAGGACUAAGAUAGGGCGCAGACUCGAACGGGGGGCAGCGGGCGGAAGUAUUACCCAAUGAGAGGGAGCCUGAGAAGAAGGCGCCGCGUGCGGAAUGACGGCCUGCUGGUUGAGAAAAGCUGCAGCCUAAGACGAAGCGGGAGUGACGGUACUGAAUGAAGAAGCACCGGCUAACUACGUG
This 468-nucleotide ribosomal RNA is filed under the name uncultured bacterium. RNAcentral describes it as "partial 16S ribosomal RNA". It matches the Rfam family "Bacterial small subunit ribosomal RNA", at positions 28 to 507 of the family's 1533-position model. The record is from RNAcentral.